Molecule: ribosomal RNA, 253 nt
Filed under: uncultured bacterium
Lineage: Bacteria
Description: partial 16S ribosomal RNA
Rfam family: Bacterial small subunit ribosomal RNA
Source: RNAcentral
UACGUAGGUGGCAAGCGUUGUCCGGAUUUACUGGGCGUAAAGGGCGUGCAGGCGGUCUGUUAAGUCUAGGGUGAAAGCUCCCGGCUCAACUGGGAGAGGCCCUUGGAUACUGGCGGACUUGAGGGAGGCAGAGGAGUAUGGAAUUCCGGGUGUAGUGGUGAAAUGCGUAGAGAUCCGGAGGAACCCCAGAGGCGAAGGCGGCGUCCUGGCCCAUUUCUGACGUUCAGACAUGACAGCAUGGGGAGCGAACGGG